RNAcentral lists this ribosomal RNA (372 nucleotides) under uncultured bacterium. Its description in RNAcentral is "bacterial SSU rRNA". It matches the Rfam family "Bacterial small subunit ribosomal RNA", at positions 524 to 898 of the family's 1533-position model. The record is from RNAcentral.
UACGGAGGAUGCAAGCGUUAUCCGGAUUCAUUGGGUUUAAAGGGUGCGUAGGCGGAUUAAUAAGUCAGCGGUGAAAUCCUACAGCUUAACUGUAGAACUGCCAUUGAUACUGUUAGUCUUGAGUUUGGUUAAGGUAGGCGGAAUGUGUAAUGUAGCGGUGAAAUGCUUAGAUAUUACACAGAACACCAAUUGCGUAGGCAGCUUACUGGACCGACACUGACGCUGAGGCACGAAAGCGUGGGGAUCGAACAGGAUUAGAUACCCUGGUAGUCCACGCCGUAAACGAUGAUUACUCGCUGUUGGCGAUACACAGUCAGCGGCUAAGCAAAAGCAAUAAGUAAUCCACCUGGGGAGUACGGCCGCAAGGUUGAA